GUGCUUAUAUAGGCAGCAUAUAUACUAAAAAUGGAAUGAUAUAGAGAAGAUUAGCACGGCUCCUGUGUAAGGAUAAAACGUAAAUACGUGAAGCAUUCCAUGUUUUC
Molecule: small nuclear RNA, 107 nt
Filed under: Carlito syrichta (Philippine tarsier)
Lineage: Eukaryota; Metazoa; Chordata; Mammalia; Primates; Tarsiidae
Source: RNAcentral